AAAAGGCGGCGUAAGCUGUCGCUAAAGGAUGGACCCGCGGUGCAUUAGCUAGUUGGUAAGGUAACGGCUUACCAAGGCGACGAUGCAUAGCCGAGUUGAGAGACUGAUCGGCCACAUUGGGACUGAGACACGGCCCAAACUCCUACGGGAGGCAGCAGUAGGGAAUCUUCCACAAUGGGCGAAAGCCUGAUGGAGCAACGCCGCGUGAGUGAAGAAGGUUUUCGGAUCGUAAAGCUCUGUUGUUGGUGAAGAAGGAUAGAGGUAGUAACUGGCCCCUAUUUGACGGUAAUCAACCAGAAAGUCACGGCUAACUACGUGCCAGCAGCCGCGGUAAUACGUAGGUGGCAAGCGUUGUCCGGAUUUAUUGGGCGUAAAGCGAGCGCAGGCGGAAAGAUAAGUCUGAUGUGAAAGCCCCCGGCUUAACCGAGGAAUUGCAUCGGAAACUGUGUUUCUUGAGUGCAGAAGAGGAGAGUGGAACUCCAUGUGUAGCGGUGGAAUGCGUAGAUAUAUGGAAGAACACCAGUGGCGAAGGCGGCUCUCUGGUCUGUAACUGACGCUGAGGCUCGAAAGCGUGGGUAGCGAACAGGAUUAGGUACCCUGGUAGUCCAUGCCGUAAACGAUGAGUGCUAAGUGUUGGGAGGUUUCCGCCUCUCA
RNAcentral lists this ribosomal RNA (654 nucleotides) under uncultured bacterium. Its description in RNAcentral is "bacterial SSU rRNA". It matches the Rfam family "Bacterial small subunit ribosomal RNA", at positions 202 to 842 of the family's 1533-position model. The record is from RNAcentral.